RNAcentral lists this ribosomal RNA (495 nucleotides) under uncultured bacterium. RNAcentral describes it as "partial 16S ribosomal RNA". It matches the Rfam family "Bacterial small subunit ribosomal RNA", at positions 28 to 507 of the family's 1533-position model. The record is from RNAcentral.
GACGAACGCUGGCGGCGUGCCUAAUACAUGCAAGUAGAACGCUGAAGGAGGAGCUUGCUUCUCUGGAUGAGUUGCGAACGGGUGAGUAACGCGUAGGUAACCUGCCUGGUAGCGGGGGAUAACUAUUGGAAACGAUAGCUAAUACCGCAUAAGAGUAGAUGUUGCAUGACAUUUGCUUAAAAGGUGCAAUUGCAUCACUACCAGAUGGAGCUGCGUUGUAUUAGCUAGUUGGUGAGGUAACGGCUCAACAAGGCAACGAUACAUAGCCGACCUGGGAGGGGGAUCCGCCACACUGGGACUGGGACACGGCCCAGAAUUCUACGGGAGGCAGCAGUAGGGAAUCUUCGGCAAUGGACGGAAGGCUGACCGAGCAACGCCGCGUGAGUGAAGAAGGGUCUCGGAUCGUAAAGCUCUGUUGUAAGAGAAGAACGAGUGUGAGAGUGGAAAGUUCACACUGUGACGGUAUCUUAUCAGAAAGGGACGGCUAACUACGUG